This 66-nucleotide transfer RNA is filed under the name Amazonina sp. Z256E. RNAcentral's name for it is "tRNA-Met". Lineage: Eukaryota; Metazoa; Arthropoda; Insecta; Blattodea; Pseudophyllodromiidae. The record is from RNAcentral.
AGAAAAGUAAGCUAAAUAAGCUAAUGGGUUCAUACCCCAUAUAUAGAGAUUAUUCUCUCUCUUCUA